CCACCAACGUGGUUAGUCCAGUCCCCGAGAGACUCUCUCGAGAUUUUUCACUAUCUUGUUAAGCUUAAGGGUGCUCAACAAACCGUUACACACUUGAGGAGUCCCCGAGAGACUCUCUCGAGAUUUUCUACUAACUUGUUAAGCUUAAGGGUGCUCAACAAACCUUUACAAACUUGAGGACGCAAGCCUCAACACCUUUGCUCGGAGUUACAACACUCCAAGACUUCAACCAAGGAAGCACAAGUUCCUUACAACACGAGAAUCGCAAUUCUCUUACAAAUGUAUAAACACUCAAACACUCAAACAAUAUACUCCUUUAUGAGUAGGUAUGAGUAAAAGAAAUAAGCUCGAUGAUCACAACAACUUUGAACAAGACUUUGGCUCUCAAAAGCUUUAUGAAAUGAAUAUAAAAUGAUAAACACAAGUAUGCAAGCUUAUAGCAAUGUAAUGAUUAGUUGGUGUAUGUUGUUGUGUUAAAAACACUGAAAUGAAGUUGUAUUUAUAGUUGAAAAAUUGUGGUUACGUUGCUUAAUUACCAAUUAAGAGUUGCUGAAAUUACUGUGUGACAAUCGAUUGUCAAACCCCAACAAUCGAUUGUUUGCCAGUCAGAUAAAAAUUCAAUCCCAGAUUUCACGCUUGAUAAUCGAUUACUUACAAUCCAUAAUCGAUUACUGGCAACAUUCAAAAAAUCCUUUCCAGAUUUUACUUCAAAUAAUCGAUUACUCAAAUUCAAUAAUCGAUUACUCAGCAACGUUCAAAAAAUCUUUUUCAGAUUUUACNNNNNNNNNNNNNNNNNNNNNNNNNNNNNNNNNNNNNNNNNNNNNNNNNNNNNNNNNNNNNNNNNNNNNNNNNNNNNNNNNNNNNNNNNNNNNNNNNNNNNNNNNNNNNNNNNNNNNNNNNNNNNNNNNNNNNGAAGAAACCUGAUGUUCACUGCCUUAACACAAUCGAUUGUCAUUAGUUCACAAUCGAUUGUCAUGCUGUCUUGACUUAAAACAAUCGAUUAUCAUUAGUACAUAAUCGAUUAUCUUAGUCCAGAUUUUUGAGGCAUGUUUAAAAAUCAUUUUAACUGAAAUAAGUAUGUAUGAUUUAAAAUCAUUUUGACAUUAAAAUAAAUAUGCAUUUUGGAAAAACGAAUUUACGAGAGAAGCCAUGUCAUGAGCCAAGUUGCCGGAUCAAGAACACAAAUAAGAACGACUCAUUUAAACUAUGAAACUUUGUCUUGAGCUUGAAUCUCGUAGUAUAUCAAUUGUUGCGCUUGGCUUGAACUUUGUCAUAUAUCAAUUUUCGCUUCGUUUAUCAUUCAUCAAAACCUACACAAAAGAACACACGUUUUAGUAUAUUACAUUGAGAACGUGUUUCCAACAGGUUGGAGCUACUAAAGUAUUAUGAUAUUACUAUUCUUUAUCACCGGGGCAAGGCCAAUGUGGUAGUCGAUGCCUUGAGUCGUCGGGCGAAGAGUUUGGCAUAUUUACCAGCUUUAGAGAGACUCAUGGCGAUGGAUGUUCAGGCCUUAGCCAGUCAUUUCGUGAGAUUGGACCUUUCCGAACCCAGUCGAGUUCUAGCCUGUGUGGUUUCUCAAUCUUCAUUGUUCGAUCUUUUCAGGGAGCGGCGAUAUAAUGACCCUCAUUUGCUUGUCCUUAAGAACAAAUUUCAGCACGGUGAUGCUAGGGAUGUGACUAUUGGAGAUGACGGGGUAUUGAUGAUGUAGGCUCGGAUAUGUGUACCCGAUGCGUACAUCAUCCAUCCGGGUGCCGCGAAGAUGUAUCAGGAUAUGAGGUAGCAUUACUGGUGAAGGCGAAUGAAGAAGGACAUAGCAGAGUUUGUAGCUAGAUGCCUCAACUGUCAAUAGGUAAAGGCUGAGCACCAGAGACUAGGAGGGUUACUCCAGCAGAUAAAGAUUCCGGAGUGGAAAUGGGAGAAGAUCACUAUGGACUUUGUAACCGGUCUCCCUCUGACUGUGAAGAAAUUUGAUUCUAUUUGGGUUGGUGUAGAUCGGCUGACCAAGUCCUCUCAUUUCAUUCCAGUGUAUAGUACUUACUCAGCGGAGCGGUUAGCUGGGUACAAAGGUCACUAUGAGUACAACUUUUCACCCUCAGACGGACAGACAGUCCGAGCGCACCUUCAGAUUCUUGAGGAUAUGCUCCAUGCGUGCAUGAUUGAGUUUAUAGGGUCUUGGUAUCAUUUCUUGUCAUUUACUGAGUUUGCGUACAACAACAGUUAUCAGUACAACACAUAGAUGGUGCCGUAUGAGGCCUUAUAUGGUAGGAGAUUUAGAUCCACGAUGGGUUGGUUCGAGCCGGUGAGGCCAGGCUAUUGGGCACUGAUUUGGUAAAGGAUGCAGUAGAGAAAGUCAAGGUAAUUCGAAACAAACUCCGUACGGCCCAGUCCAGACAAAAGAGUUAUGCGGACCGGAAGGUUUGUGAUGAUGGUUGGUGUGCGGGUUCUGCUUCAGGUCUCGCCUAUGAAAGACGUCAUGAGGUUUGGGAAGAAAGGGAAGUUGAGUCUAAGGUUCAUUGUCCCUUUUGAGAUUUUGAAACGAGUUGGGGAGGUUGCUUACGAGCUCUCAUUACCUCCCAGAUUGGCCAGGGUUCAUAAUGUAUUUCACGUCUCGAUGCUUCGGAGAUAUCACGGUGACCUGUCUUAUGUGUUGGCGUUCACUUCAGUCCAGUUGGACAAGGACUUGUCCUAUGUUGAGGAGCCAGUGGUGAAAUUGGACAGGCAAGUCUGAAAGCUCAGGUCAAAGGAUAUAUCUUUAGUAACGGUUCAGUGGCGGGAUCAUCCGACCAAGAAGGUGACUUGGGAGACCGAGCGGGAUAUGCGCAGCCGAUACCCUCAUCUAUUUGCUACUUAAGGUAUGUUCUCUAUGCUCGUUCGAGGACAGACGUAUGUUUAAGCGUAGAAGGAUGUGACAACCCGGCCGGUAGUCUUUAGAAUUUAUGCCCGGUUCCCCCAUUAACUAUUUCCCCAAAGUUCAUUUAUGCUAUUUUGGUUUGCUGGGACGUUCGGUGUUAGAAUUUGGAGUGCUUUGGGAUACAUAGUCCCUAAAUGAGAGCUUGAGUGUUAGUAAGUGGUCCGUAAUUGUAACAAUGCGAUGCAACCUCGUAAUGAAAAUACAAUGCUUUUAUUAGCUCCUUUAGGUGAUUUCGGGGUUAGGGGCGUGUUCGGAAUGUAUUUUGGAUGUCCAUAGCUCAUUUAGGCUAGAAAUGCCGAAAGUAAGAAUUUGGAGGUUUCCGGUCCGAUAGUGAAUUUUUUAUCCGAGGGUCGGAAAGGAAUUCUGGAAGUUGCUAUAGAGCCUUCAUGUCAUUUGGGACAUGCGUGCAAAAUUUCAGGUCAAUCGAGCGAAUGUUGGUUAGGUUUUGAAUCGAAAGCGUGUUUUAGAUGAACUUGAAGUUCUUAGGCUUGAAUCUUUAAUUUAAUCGGGUUACCGGUGUUGUUUUGGAGGUUUUAAGGAUUGGUAUAAGUUCGAAUAAGGCAUUAGAUGGUAUUAGUGUGUUUGGUUGGGGUCUCGGGAUGAUUUCGGAUGGUCGACGAAGUGGAUUUUUAAGUGUUGCAGCAGCUGAUGUUCUUCCUAUUUGGUAUUUUCCCUUAUGCGGUUGGUGAACCGCAGAAGCGGAGCUGCAUAAGUGGCCCGGCUCACCGCAGAAGCGAUGUGGGGUGUGUCCUUCAGAGACUGCAGAAGCGGUAAAUUACCCGCAAAGGUAGAUCCGCUAAUGCGGUUGUACGUCCGCAGAAGCGAAUUCUGGCCCCCUUGAUGAAAUCUGCAGAAGCGGAUCCUUGUCCGCAUAUGCGGGAUCGCAGAAGCAAAAAAAUAAAACUUAUUGCAACUACGAACGUUACAGAUGCUUUCACAUUAGACUAUUUUAACCGAUUGUUUAUGUCGACCAGUCCCUUGUCCGCAUAAGCGGAAAUCGUUGUUCUGAUAAGGGUUUAUCCAAGGCUUAAUUUCAAAAGUUGGAAAAUCAAUUGGGAGCUCGGGAGAAGGUAAUUUUGAGUGGGUUUUGAAGAGAAGAUUAUUGGGUAACGUUGAUUUGAUCCUUUCUAGUUAUAUUUCAUCAUUUCCUAGUUAAAGCAACCAUUAGAAUUCAAAUUCAAGAUCUAAAAUUGGGAAAAAUGGGUGAAACUUCUUAGACUUAAUUAUGUGAUUUUGAGUGGGCAUUUGACCUCCGAUUUGGGAGAUUUUUAUAUGGUUAGACUCGUGAAAGUACGAGGGUUCUGAAAAUGUGAAAGUUAUUCGAUUUUGAGCCAUCGAUCUAAGGGGAGUUUUGGUCAUUUUACCUAUUUCGAGCCUUAGCUUUAAUUUCAAUAAUGAAAUCAGUUGCUUGCGAUGUUAUUUACAUUAUGAAAUUAAAUUGAAUAGAUUUAAGCCAUUUGGAGUUAGAUACUUGUGGCAAGGACAUUGUUUCAUAGUUGAUUUGUACUGGUUUGAGGUAAGUGGCUUGUCUAACUUUGUGUGGGGGACCUCUCCCCUCAGUAUAUAUUACUUGUUAUUUUAAAUGCUUUGUACGCGAGAUGACGAGCGUGUACUUGAGCUAGUUGUUGAAAACCCAUUUUUCUUAGAAUAUUUAAACUGUGUUCUCUUGCGUAUUUGCAUAUUCUAAGUGCAACUUAACCUGUGUUGGCUUAGGAUGAGCAUGUUUAGCUGCCUUACUUUCUUAAUUUCUUAAAUUGAAUUAUCUGACCUUUGUGAAGCAUGAUAUAUUAGAAAUUCUAUUAAUUGUUCUUACUUAUCAGUAUACAAUAUUGAAGUGUUGUGGUGUUUACAAUUUGGGACUACGGGACGACAUCCCGCUAAUUCCCUUUUUAUGUGUUGCGUUCUAUGACUGAGAGUGCUGGAUACCAAGAGAUCCCUGGCACAGAUAUGACUAUAAAAAGGGAGGAUACCAGGCGAUUCUCGGGAUAAUAUGAUAUACCUUGUUUAAAAUGGAGGAUACUAGGAGGUACUCGAGAUACUAAGAGAUCCCAUAUGUGAAAUGGAGGAUACUAGGAGAUCCUCGGGAUACUAGGAGAUCCCUCGAGUAUAUGAUGAGGAUACUAGGAGAUCCUCGGAAUACCAGGAGAUCCCCGGUGAUAGAUAUCGGGUGGUGAUUUGCACUGCUAUUUACUUACUGUGUUAGUUCUCGAUUAUUGUCUUAUGUAUUAUUUUGCUAGAUUCUCACAGUAGAUCAUAUCCAUAUGUUCUUUCCUUAUUCUAUUGAUUAUUAUGUUUUUAUCUCGGUAUGGCCUCGACAUUUCCUCGUCACUACCCGACCGAGGUUAGGCUUGGCAUUUACAAAGUACUGCUGUGGUGUACUCACGCCUUUUCUGCGCAUGCUUUUCAUGUGCAGAUCCAUGUUCCUCUAUGCUGGCACAUUAUCAGUAGUUGUAUGGAGCAUUUUAGACACUUGAGGUAUAUUUGUCGCGUCCCCAGACCGGAGAGUCUCCCUCUCACUCUACCCCUUUUGUUAGUUAGAUGCUAUUAUGUUCUUCCUUGUCAUUGACGUUUCCGGAUAAUUAGAGCAGUAUUAUGUAUUACUCUUAGCCUGUGUUGCCCAUGGAUUUUUGGGUCUUUGGGAUAGUUUCAGAAUAUAAAGUGUUUAAAUGUAUGUAUCAGGCGGCAACUAUAUACAUUACUCAUGUUAUUUUGCUUUUGGAUCACAAAUUUCUUAAAUGUUGUUACUUCUGCAAUGUUUUAGGCUUACCUAGUCGUGAAAACUAGGUGCCGUCAUGACUUGUUCAUAAUUGGUAAUCCUGGAACUUACGUAUAAUAUGUUGGAGUUCAUGCAUACUAAUACUGGAACUCCAGCAUAAGAUACAUGCGUAUUUUCCGUCUUUUGAACAGUGUUUUCUCUCAUAUUUAUUUUUUCAUGAAAAGUGACUAAAUUUCGAUUACUUUUGAAACUGGGCUAUUUUUGAAUGACCGGUAUUAAAUUUGGCUAUUUUUAAAUUUCUCCCUAUCUUUCUGCAUUUUGUGUAAGCUUAGAGUAAUUGAUCCCACAUCAUUGUAAUGUUCUUUGCUUUUGCAAGAUUCAAAAAUAACAAAACGAUGUUGUAGUAAAGUCCUCGUGAAAUCAAAUGAAGAGCUAUAUUUGUUCCUAUAAUUUGGACCUUGGUGCAAGUCAAGUUCCUCAAAUAGUUAUUGCAUGAGUAUUCCAUAUUUUUUUGUCGUCAAUAGAAUAGAAUUAUUUACAGGACCAUAAAUACAACUAAUAUUUUUACCUGGUUAUUUUGCAAUAUACCGUAAAGCCUCUAAUAUGGUUGACAUAUUGUCACGACCUCAACCCCGGUAAUGAUAGUGCCUAACAUGCUGUUAGGCAAGCUCGACCAUUCGACAACCUUGACCAAUUUCUUACACAAUUCAUGAUUUAUUAAUACAAGAAAUUUACUAGGUCAUCAUAUAAGAAGUCUCAAAUAAAAGAUAAAACAUGAGGAAUCUCAAGUAAAACCCUACAACAUAGCCCAAAGAAUUUGGUGUCACAAGUCUGAGCCUUAAUUCAAAUUUAUCGCCUAUUACAUGUUCGUCUAGGAAGUAUAAAAUAAAAGACAAGGAUAGAAGUGAGAGAUCAGGGUUGCGAAUGCCAUGCAGCUACCUCGAUGCUCCCGGAUACUGUGCUGCUCAGCUAAAAUAAUUCUCACUCAGCCUCAGAUGCGCCUGGAUCUGCACACAAAGUGCAGGGAGUAAUAUGAGUACUCCGACCCAGUGAGUAAUAAACAUUAAUAAAGGCUGAGAAUAAUAAAUCAUGGAAAAACACAAGGCAAUCUAUAAUUGGAAGUUUAGAGAAAUUAAUAAACCCAUGAAAACAAAAUAUAGAAAUACUAAAAACAGAGAGAUAGAUAAAUGACAGAUGAAUAAGGAGAAUGCAACACACAAAAUAGUACUCUCUAGUACCCAGCUGCAGCGUGGAGCCCGAUCUAUUUAUUUAUCGUCGACGACGCGCACUAGGGGUGUGCAGACUCUGGGAGGGGCCCCUUACAGCCUAAGCGCAAUAUCUAGCCAUCUUGUGGCAUCAACUAGACCAUCAACUCAAUAUCAAUAUCAUACUGCUGCGGCGCGCAGCCCGAUCCCAUAUUCAGUCCAAAAACCACAUAAGCCCCUCGAGCUAUAAUAAAUAGUAGUUCUCAACUCAUAACGUCAUUAGAAAUAUUUUUUAAGUUUAAAAUCUGCGUAAAAGUGGAUGAAUUUGUAAACAGUGUUUAUACCUUAUGACUGAGAUCAAAUAAUAUGUCAAAUAGUGUGGAAACAAUGAUAACAACCCCUGAAGGAUUCAAAUAGUUGGCACAAAGCCCGAACAUGACAAUGCGUCCAAGUAAAGAUGAUCUCAAAUAAGUUUCAAUUACGCGGUAAAAUCACUCCCGAUGGACCAAGUCACAAUCUCUAAUAAUAAUCGACCCCGCACUCAUCAUAGAGCACAUGUCUCGCCUCAAUAUAGCGCUACGAUGUGAAAUUUUAGGGUUUCAAACGCUCAGGACAUUAUUUACAUUCAUUACACACCUCAAGUCGGCCAAAACUCUAGCUCGAUAUGCCCUUAUUCUUAAAUCGGCCUCCUCGCACGUCGAAUCUGACCAAAAUCACCACGAAUACGUCACAAUAUGCUAAAGGAACAAUACCCAAUCGAAAAUAAUCUUAAAACAUCAAGAAAUUCGAAAUUGGCAAAAUUCGAGCCCCAUGGCCAUUUCUCAAAACUUAGAAUUUUUCAUACCAACGGAUUCCUUAUCUCUCCCCAAGUCUAUUCAUAUCAAAACCACAAGAAUCGGAGUCCAAUUGACCCCUCAAAUCCCCAUUCCUAACUUUCUUAAUUUCAAGCCAACCGCUAUUUUUAACCCUUGAUUCCUUGAUUGUUCCACCUUAAUUCAUGUAAUAACACCUUAGAUUUAUAUUUUAGGUCCAGAAAUCCUUACCUCAAUGAAGUCCCUUUAUUUCCCUCUCCAAAAUCGUCCAAAAUUUUCCAAGUCCGAAGUGCAAAAAUGACUACCUCUCAAAAUUCUGCUUCUGCGGAAAUAAGCAGAUAAACCAAAUCUCACAUCUGCAAUAUCUCCUCCGCACAUACGACACCGCACUUGGGGCCCCUUUUCCGCAUGUGCUGAAAUACCAUAACCUAGAAAACUUUGCAAUUCCUUAAGUCCCAAAACAUCCUAUUAGCCAUCCGAAACUCACUGGAGGCCCCCGGGACCUCAACCAAAAGCACCAACACAUCCUAAUACAUCAUUCAAACCCGUUCCACUCAUCAAAACACCUCAAAAAAUAAGAAAACCAUCAAAUUACAUCAAAUCCAAGCCUAAGUUCUUCAAAAACUUCCGAAACACGUAUAUGAUCAAAAACCCAACCAAAUGACCUCCAAAUAACCUGAAAUUUUGCACACACAUCUCAAAUCACCUAAUGAAGUUACUGCAACCCUAGGAAUUCCAUUCCGACCAUCGGAUGAAAAUCUCACCUUCCAACCGGAAAUUGCCAAAAUACUAACUUCGCCAAAACAAGCUAACUUCUUUACUGGACCUCUAAAAAAACUUCUGAUCACGCUUCUAAGUCACAAAUAAUCCCUCGAAGCUAGUCGAAUCACCAGAAAUCACAUCCGAGCCCUAUAACUCAUGAGUCAUCAUCCAGUUGACGUUUCCAAACUAAACCUUCCUUAAAGAGAUUAAGUAUCUUAUUUCCUACCAAAACCAAUCCGAAUUGACUCAAUCACACAAAAUACCGAUAAUGAAACAUGAAUAAGCAUAAAAUGUGGGGAACGAGGUGGUCACUCAUGAGACGAGAGGCCGGGUCGUCACACAUAUGCACAUUAUACGUAGCAAUAUCAAAACAAUUAUGGCAAGCACACAACUACUAUAACUAAAAGGCAUCGCAUGACUAAGAGCAUGUUUUGCCUAGCUUCUGCGAGGCUACAUUUUCCCCCAAAAAGUACUUUUUAAAAAAUUUAAGUUGUUUGGCCAAUACAGAAAAGUACCUUUUGGCAGCAGCAAAAGCAGUUUUUCUGCUUUUGGAAAUAUGCAAAAAAUCCUAGCUUCUUCCGAGAAGCAGGAGUAGAAAUUAAUUUAUUCAAGACAAUUAUCCUCACCAUAAAUUUACAUUUUCGAAAUUAUGCCUUACUAAUUUAAGUUUUUUCUUUUUAUUUAUGUUCUAGUUUUUACCAUCCUAUUAAAAUUACAUAUAUCAUAUAUAAAUCAUAUUGUAACUUUUCGAAAAAAUUAUUGACUUUUCUUGUUUUUGAUCUUUUCUUUAUAUAUUGUCUCAUAACUUUCAAAUUAUCUUCUUCUUUUUUCACAUAAAGCAAAUUAUAUGCAUCUUCUUUGGAUUAUCAAUUAUCGUCCUACAAAUAAUUAUUUAUAUUUUCUUCUAUUAUAUGUUAUUAGUUCCCGAAUCUUUAAAACAGUUAUCAAAUAUGAUUUGUGAAAUUAACCUCCAAAUAGGUAAUAAAUUUACAACUGCAUUGUAUAAUCUAUCUAUAUAUUGUAUAUCUAUAUAUUAUUAAAAGAAGAAGAAAAUGCAUCCAUAUUUAGUCAAGUGACAUAGCCAUUUGGCAUUUUAGGAGUUAGUAAGGUUAGGUAAUCUUUCUUUUUGAAUCUAAUUUUUUUAAAUAAAAUAUAUAUAUAUUAUGUGUUGUUAAUAAUUAGUUACUCUUAUUGAAUUAGAAUUUAAAUAUACUUAACUAUUUCUUUUACAAAUUUUUUAUAUAUUUAAAAUUAUUUUUAUAUUACGCUAGAUGCCAUCUUACAAGUUUGAUGCUCAAAAUUAUCUAGUUACUACUACCAUGGCUAUAGAUAAUUUCAUCUGAUAAUAUUCUUUUACCGAUAAAGAAUUCAACUAUUAUGCUAAUGAAGACAUUACUGCAGAGAUGGAUGAAGGAGAUUAGCCUUCUGAUAUUAUUUUAGGAAUGUCAGGCAAGUCUUCUACUAAUUUGAAGCAUUGUGUGAUAGAAGUGGAGAGGAAGUUGUUGAGAAGUAUUAUCAUGUGUGAGUAACUUUACUUAUUAUUUCAUGAUGGAUAAUCAAUAUAUAGUAAUUUGUGGAUAGACUUCUAAUUUACACUGAAUGAUGGUAUUUGUCAUGACCCAAAUCCACUAAGGUCGUGGUGGCACCGAAAAUCAUUGUCAGGCAAGCCAAUCAAACUACUUAGCCAAGUUCUUUUUUAUUUAUUUAGGAAAAAUACUUCUUUUAUACAUUUAAAACUAUAUAUUAUAAACUUCUCCGAGUAAAUAAUGAAACUCUUAAACAACUUUUAAAAUUUAUAAAUAAACUCAAUUACAUCCCAGAACCCGGUGUCACAAGUACAUGAACAAUUUCUAAGAGAUACUCAAAUAAGUGCGAUAAUUGUCCGGAAUAUAGUUGGACAGAAUGUAAAUAGAAAUAUGAAAGAGACUAUACUAGCUGCAGAAUCGCCUCAGGGAAAUGCAACUGACCUAGUCUCUGUGUCAACCAUGCUGCUAUGCCACUAAUCCACCAGUCAACCUGUGCAAUAAAAAUGCACAACAAGUGUAGUAUGAAUAUGAAUCAACGUGCUAAGCAAGUGUCCCCUCUAAUCUCGAAGAAGUAGAGACAAGAGGUCGACUUUAACACUUUAUAGUGGUCAAGUAAUAAUAUACCAACAUGUGAGGAAAUCAAGGGUUUAUAUAGCACUUUUAACAUCACAAAGCGGGUGAACAUGUAAACACAUUUUACACAUAAUAAGGGAUUUUCAUGAUUUACUUUUCAUUUAUACUUUGCAAUUUAUAUCAGUCAAAAAAGGCAAUAUGAUAUUUCAGGCAACAAUGUAAGCAUGCGCAAAUCAUGCCGAGGUGACGGCUCGAACCAACAAAAAUAAAUGUGCACUAGCUGAUGGUCAACGACGCGCCUAUAGAUGCAUUUAUUCAUACCGAGGCGAUCGGCCCGAUCCACAAAUAUCAAGCAAAUAUCAAGAAUACACACCAGGUACAUUAAUAUGCAGUUAUUCCACACAAAGGUUCAACAAGUGUACAAGCUUACUUUUAUUCUCUUAUAUCUUAAGUGAUCUCAUUAGCAACAUAGUAACUGUGCACUUGUCGAGGGUCGACGGGGCGCCUAUAGAUACAUCUAUUCAUACCGAGGCGAUCGGCAUGAUGCACAAAUAUCAAGCAAAUGUCAAGAAUACACACCAGACACAUUAAUAUGCAAUUAUUCCACACAAAGGUUCAACAUGUAUACAAGCUUACUUUUAUUCGUUUUCAAGUCUCUAGCAUACACGAAGUGAUCUCAUUAGCAAUAUAAUAACGGGAUUUUCACAACUUAAUCAUGAUGUGGGUCCUAAACUACCCGGAAGAUCAUUAUAGUAGUAGCUACAUACGGACUCUCGACACCUCGUGCGUACGUAGCCCCUGCAUUUGGCAACUAUCAUUCAUUUAUUAAUACUAUGGGAACAUUUCCAUCUUACAAGAUUAGAAAAGAGACUCACCUUGCUCUGAAGAUCCAUAACCGGCACUCUACAUUCUUCCGAAGACUUGAAUCAAUGCAAAAUGCUAAAAAACUAGCCAAUGGUCAUACAAAUCCAUUAAUAUAUGCUAAAGCACUCCUUAUAAUCCAAUUUAUAACAAUUCUUAACCCCAAACGAAAAGUUGACCAAAAUGCCUCGGGACCACGUGCCCGAAAUCCAAUUUUUUUCAAAUAUAAAGUUAAUAAAGUCUACCCAUGACCUUAGAAACUCAUAUAUAUAAUUUUCUCUAAAUUCCAUACUCAAAACCGUGGUCAAAUUCCAGGAACACAAUAUUUCUAGGUCUUCCUCUAACCCUCAACUUUCUACCCAUUUUCAUACCAAGAUCCAUACAUAACUGAUGUACUUAACUCGUCAUAGGUGGGGAUAACGUACCUUAUCAUUGAUGAUGUAAAACCUCUCUUGAAGCUCCCCAAAAAUCGCCAAAGCAAUGAGAAAUAUGAGAGAAAUGGCCAAAUACCCGAUUUUCAACAACCAUUCUGCCCCAGCAAUUUUCGCACUUACGGUCCUCUGAUCGCUUCUGCGGUUCUGCAGUUGUGGCCUUCUUACCGCUUCUGCAGUUCCAAUCCAGGCCCUUCAAAUCCGCUUAUGUGUCUCACCAACCGCAGGUGAGGUCCCGCUUCUACGGCUUCUUGACUGCAUCUGCGGUCCUCUCCUCCUUGGUCCUAACCGCUUCUGCGUUUUGAUCUUCGUCACUGCGGGGCCACUUCUGCGUUCCCAAUUCCGUAGAAGCGGAAAUACUAGAAGCAGCAACUCCAGGCCUUCUUCAAGUUCUAAAUUCGAUCAGUUAGCCACCCGAAAUCUACCUGAGGCCCCCGGCACCCCCAACCAAUCAUACCAACCAGUCCGCAAACACAUUACGGACUUGCUCGAGGCCUUGAAUCACAUCAAACAAAGCCAAAACCAUGAAUCGACCUCCAAUCCAAGCUUAAUGAUCUUUAAGAUUACCGACUUCCACUUUCUAUGCAGAAACCUAUCAAAUCACGCACGAUUGACUUCAAAUUUUGCACACAAGUCAUAUUUGACAUUACGAAUCUACUCCAACUUAUGGAAUCGGAUUCCGAUCCCAAUAUCAAAAAUUCCACUUCAUGUCAAACUUCUCAAAAAUCUUCAAAGUUCUAUGUUUAUCCAAAUGGCUUCAAACUGACCUAUGAACCUCCGAAUUCACUUACGAUCGCGCUACCAACUCCAGGAUCACCAUACGGAGCUACUCCCCGUCUACGAAUCCUAAACAGACAUCGAUAACACUGAAAUGCACUUCAAGCCAAACUUAUGAAAUUCCUUCCAAAAUGCUAACUUCCACAAUAUGCGCCAAAACGCUCCCGAGCCAUCCAUAAACCGAUUCGGGCAUACUCCCAAGUCCAAAAUAAUCAUACAAACCUUCUGGAACCUUCAGAUCCUUAUUCCAAGGUCAUAUACUCAAAAUUCCAAUCCCAAUUCAUUUCUUCAACUUUAAGCUUUCAAAAUGAUAAUUCUCCUUCCAAAUCCACUUUGAAUUUACCAAAAUUCCAUUCUAAUCACGCGUACAAGUCAUAAUACAUGAAAUGAAGCUGCUUAUGCCCCCAGACUGCUGAAUGACUGUCACGACCCUAGUUCGCCCAGCGGAAAAUAAACCAUAAAUUGCGGAAGAAUAAUUAAAACUUAACUAGUUGAAUAAAUCAAUAUUUAAGGUGUCGUCUAGCACAUAAAAUAACAAUUCUCGAAACUAACAAAAAUUUCCAAAACCCGAAAUCUCACAAAUCACAAGCUAAGGGAUACAUAAGAGGCUAUGACUCAAGAAUAUCUAUACAAAGGAGAAAUACUAAAAGAGCUAUACUUAUUAUAGAAAGAUGGAAAGGGACAUCUCGGUCUGCGGACGUAGCAGAUAUACCUAGAAGUCUCUACCGAUACACCUCCUUCCAAGGCUGACAGAAUUGAAUGGGAGUACCUGUAUCUGCACAACAAAAGUGUGCAGAAGAGUAGCAUGAGAACACCACGGCAGUGCCCAGUAAGUAUCAAGACUUACCUCGAUGGAGUAGUGACGAAGAACGGUCAAGACACCUACCGGUCAAUAAACAGUAUAAUCAUAAAAAUAAUGGAUAUUAUAUGUAAAUAUAUAAAGACUGCACAAAUGACUAAAAAUGCUACAAAUAAUAAUAAAGUAAAUGGGCAAGAUUUAACAACGAUAAUAUAAUAAAUGAUGAUAUGUAAAUGACGGCAGAUAUCACAAUCCAAAUCCUGAGGUCACAACAUAACAAGGGAAAAACAAGUCAAUAGCUCGUAUCCUACAGUGAUGUUCACAUAAGGCCUUAUUCAUCUCUUUCCACAAUUUUUACAAGAAAUCUCGAACAACCACAACUCACGAAAACCCAUCACAUACAAUCUAACACUUGCCAUCAUGUGCCCCAUCAGUCUCUCAGUCAUGCUGACCACUAACUUGUUAACUAUGGACACUCUCACCUAUAAAAUGGAUAAAGGAGGGAGUACCUCCAUCCUUAGAAAAAUUAGGAGCAAUUCGCCUCUAACGGGAGUAUCCAUUUACGUGUAUUCUUGUGCAAGUGUUCUAAAAAGAAUUCUACCAACUAGUAAACAUGAAUAGGAGAACAUAUCACAAGUAUAAUGUUUCCUCACGACUUCGAGCGAUGGAACUCAUAUAGGUAACCAACCCAAAAAUCACAAUAGUAAACAAAAUAGGAAUGCCUCCACAGGCCGCCACAAUUCAUUACCAUAAGCCCAUGACAUAGCCUACAUUAUUUCACCACGUCUGCAAAUAGUAAUAUAAAAUGCACCGCCUUAUUUCUCCACACGUGCAUCACAAUGUUCCCACCUUAUUCUGCCAUAUGCGCAACCCACAUAUGAGAAUGUAAACAUUUCCCCCGUUAUCACCCCACAUGUUCGAACAUCAAUAGUAACAAUAGCACGUCAGAGACCUCAUGUAACUCCUCAACAACAUCCGCAUGGCAGAGACCUCGUGCAUUACAAUAUCAAUGACCGCACGGCAGAAAACUCGGGCACCACAAUAUUAACAACCACACGGCAGAAACCUCAUGCACCACAAUAUUAACAACCGCACGGCAGAAACCUCAUGCACCACAAUCAACUAAAUCAACUAGCAACCACGUUCUUGCCACGAGUAGUCGACUCCAAAGGGCCCAAGUCUAUGCAAUUAAAUCACACAUUGUAAAUAACAUCUCACACAAUUGAUUCUACAAUUUAAUUCAAAGCUAAAGCACGAAAUAAGGUAAAAUGACCAAAACACCCCCAGUCCAACGUCUUAGAAUCGAAUAAUUUUCAUAUUCUUAGAACCUUCGAACUCUCACGAGUCUAACUAUAUAAAAAUCUCCCAACAAAGUCAAAUACCCACUCAAAACUCAAUAGUUUGGUCUAUGAAGAUCUACCAAUUUUGCAUUAAAAAUCUGAAAUUAAAGGAUGAAAUUAAGAGGAGAUUCAUGGAAAUUGGUCUAAAUCGAGUGAGAAUAACUUACCCAAGUUGCUAAGGUGAAAAUCCCCCCAAAAAUCUCAAAGGACCGAGCUCUAGAAGUCAAAAUGUGAUAUAAUGGUGAAACCCUCAAAUUUGGGAUUAAAUAUGUCUGCCCAAACAUUUUAUUCUAUGUGAUGGAAGGAAAAGGUAUGUGAUCGCAUAGAGUAAAAUUGGAAGGCCAGAAAAGAGGCCAAUCCGAAUGCAUAUGCGGUCAUGCGAUUAAAGAAGAUGAGGAAACAUAACUAUGAGAUCGCGAACAAGGUUAUGCGAUUGCAUAGAAGGAAUCGGUACCCUUCUAGAAUACACUAUGUGAUCGCAUCAAAGGAAUUGAUGAUGCCCAAAAUAUGUGCUAUGCGAUCGCGGGACAAGCAAUGCCAUCACAUAGAAAGAAAUACCAAAUAGCAGAUCAUAAGUUCAAAAAGGAGGAAAAAGGAUCCGUAGCCCAUACUGUUAGAAACUACACUUAACGCUAGAGGGGGGGUGAAUAGCGUUGUAAUAAAAUUUAGCGUUUUCCUGCGGAAUUUAGACUUUGCAGGAAGUAAACAAGUGCAGUAAAAAAAUAACUUACACCAAGAUGUAUAUUGGUUGGCCACCAACGUGGUUAGUCCAGUCCCCGAGAGACUCUCUCGAGAUUUUUCACUAACUUGUCAAGCUUAAGGGUGCUCAACAAACCUUUACACACUUGAGGACACAAGCCUCAAACAGUUGCUCGGAGAU
This 15593-nucleotide long non-coding RNA is filed under the name Nicotiana benthamiana. Its description in RNAcentral is "long non-coding RNA (NBEN_LNC005823)". The record is from RNAcentral. Lineage: Eukaryota; Viridiplantae; Streptophyta; Magnoliopsida; Solanales; Solanaceae.